Molecule: ribosomal RNA, 368 nt
Filed under: uncultured bacterium
Lineage: Bacteria
Description: bacterial SSU rRNA
Rfam family: Bacterial small subunit ribosomal RNA
Source: RNAcentral
GGGCCCGCACAAGCGGUGGAGUAUGUGGUUUAAUUCGAUGAUACGCGAGGAACCUUACCAGGGUUUGACAUCCUGCGAAUCUCUUGGAAACAGGAGAGUGCCUUCGGGAACGCAGUGACAGGUGGUGCAUGGCUGUCGUCAGCUCGUGUCGUGAGAUGUUGGGUUAAGUCCCGCAACGAGCGCAACCCACGUCUUUAGUUGCCAGCAUUUAGUUGGGCACUCUAGAGAGACUGCCGGUGAUAAACCGGAGAAGGUGUGGAUGACGUCAAGUCAUCAUGCCCCUUACAUCUGGGCUACACACGUACUACAAUGCUACGGACAAAGGGCAGCAAGUUCGCGAGGACAAGCAAAUCCCAUAAACUAUCCUA